Xiphophorus couchianus (Monterrey platyfish) is the source of this 1741-nucleotide long non-coding RNA. RefSeq lists it as uncharacterized. The transcript has 3 exons. The record is from RefSeq and is a predicted model, not a curated record. NCBI's taxonomy places the organism in Eukaryota, Metazoa, Chordata, Actinopteri, Cyprinodontiformes, Poeciliidae.
AUCAUACUGACCUUUGGUGAUGUAAUUCUCUGAGUCAUAAGAGUGAUCAUGACCUAUUAGGUUGUUGUGAAAUGCUCUCCAUUCAGCUCAUUCAUAGGAAAACACAACUACUACUAUAUAAACACUGGGAUACAGCAGCAGCACACUUGCAACAUUGAUUAAAACCAAUCGGUUUGGCUUUUUAAAGGAAAUAAUUUGCCAAAUACAAUUACUGAGUUACUGCCAAUUAGGGUAAAUUAUAGUAAAAGUUAUUUUAAAUGGUUUAAUAGCCACAAACUGUUCUUCAUUUGCAAUUAAAAAAAAUUUACGUUUUCUGUGGUUUUACGGAGUACAGAAGAAGCCAGAUGUUGCUCCACACUGCCAGUCAGCUGGCUGAAAGACAUUCCCUUGCUUACAUAUGGCCGUUUAUGUGGAAACUAAACAAGUGUUCAUCUCUUUCUCUAAUUCAACGGUUUUACAGCCGCAGUUUGAGGUCGGGGAGCAGAGUUUCUGCAGGUUACAGCAACUCAGAUUUAAGGCUUUUUAAGACCUGAAUCACAGCAGGAACGUACAAAACAAAAUUUUAAAUGUAGUAGUGCUGAGCAUUUUUGCACAGAAUGAACGUGACAGUAAGCUAACAGCAAAAACGACCGGCGUUCGGCCGACUGACGAUAAAUUUACACUUACCCGUAACAGACGCAAGCAAGCUAGCUCGUUAGCAAGGGUGUAUCAGCAGCUUGUAAGCAGUAGCCUCAACCACUUCAAGUCACAGAAUGGGAUGAUGUUUGUGUGCAUUUCAAAUGUUUAUGCGACAGAGAAGUCCAGCACCAGUACAUAUGCUACACAUGAUUUGCAAGAUUAAACAGUUCUGCCACUACAACAUUUAAGACCUGUGAUUAACAUUCUUAAGGUCAAUUUACUCUUUUAAAAAUGGAGUCAAGACAUUUUAAGGCCUUAAUUUUUGACAUACGAGUUUAAGACCAACUGCAAAGUUAUUCUAUAAGGUGAAGCGCAGCAAUAAGGUAUCGUACUCCAUGCAAAACGCACUGAAAGCUACCAAAAUCUAGCAUAAUUCCAUGGUUCAUAAAGCAAACAUAAAUACUUGUGGUAGCAUUAUUAUAAAAGGAUUAAGCUAUAAUAAAGAUUAUUAUAGAUAUUAUGGCAGCAGUAGGUAUAACUAAAGCUUCCCUGUUUUAAAUAAGAGAAUUUGAAUCAUGUUUUACAUUUUCUUUUAAAGUAUUUUCACUCAUGUUUCUCACACUGCGCCAAUAGAUUGCUCCAUAUUCAAACUUUGUAUGAGGAACUUUGAGGUUGAAUCAAAGGCUAGCAGACGGCGAUACUACGGCAGAACCAAAACACCCAACGCUUCCUCUUCUAAAAGCAGAACGGAUAAAAAUACUCGACUUCCACCGAUGAGUCCGUUGCAUGACUGAAUCAAAUAAGGAAGCGCCUCGCUCUGGAAACACUUUGUUAUUCUAGGCAUUGUGAAGCACAGCUAACUUUAGAGUCUGGCUCGGCAGGGAGGCCAACCUUGACCUUCUAACCUGCAUGGGUGCCGUGGAGAUGACCUCUCCUCUCUUAAAAGCAACUAUAAACUAGUUGUAAAGAUCACCAAGGAAAAGACUGGAUUCUCUGUCAAAACGGUGGCUAGAAAAGUGGUAGCAGGUACAUCACGAUCAAUCCGAUUCAUCGUUCCAGCUCUACAUGGACUCCUCACCUGUAGCCAGGUGGCAGCACAUUCCAGAAUGGGAACCCUGCCCAC